This 109-nucleotide unclassified non-coding RNA is filed under the name soil metagenome. RNAcentral's name for it is "partial internal transcribed spacer 1". The record is from RNAcentral.
UUGAUUGGUCGAAAGACCUUAUCAGAUUCUACCACCUCUGUGAACCGUUGACCUCCGGGUUAAUAAUCAAACAUCAGUGUAACGAACGUAAGAGUAUCUUAACUAAACA